Molecule: transfer RNA, 77 nt
Filed under: Hymenobacter sp.
Lineage: Bacteria; Pseudomonadati; Bacteroidota; Cytophagia; Cytophagales; Hymenobacteraceae
Also listed under: 1 other name
Description: tRNA-Arg
Rfam family: tRNA
About the family: Transfer RNA (tRNA) molecules are approximately 80 nucleotides in length. Their secondary structure includes four short double-helical elements and three loops (D, anti-codon, and T loops).
Source: RNAcentral
GCCUCGUUAGCUCAGUUGGAUAGAGCAUCCGCCUUCUAAGCGGACGGUCAGGAGUUCGAAUCUCUUACGGGGUACCA